This is a long non-coding RNA of Pan troglodytes (chimpanzee), 296 nucleotides long. RefSeq lists it as uncharacterized. The record is from RefSeq and is a predicted model, not a curated record. The transcript is spliced from 3 exons. Lineage: Eukaryota; Metazoa; Chordata; Mammalia; Primates; Hominidae.
GGAAGCCAGAAGAAUGAAGUGCCACACAUAUCAUUAGAGAGAAUUCCAAGAAAGAGGGAAUGAUCUAUAGUGUCUCAAGCCACAUUAAUCCUUCAAGAACAGUGUUAACUUUCUCAGGCUACUGGAACUCCACUUUUUGGAACUGUUAUGUUUACUGUUGGGGAGUGACUUUGGCACCAAGGAAAACUUGGCUCAAAUGAAUGGUUUUGGAUCACACAUCUUCAUGAUUUGGGAAUGAUAUGUGUGUUUAUUUUACGAAAAAUGUUAGUAAUGAAGCAUUUAAAAUAUAUCAAAAG